Etheostoma cragini (Arkansas darter) is the source of this 1866-nucleotide long non-coding RNA. RefSeq lists it as uncharacterized. NCBI's taxonomy places the organism in Eukaryota, Metazoa, Chordata, Actinopteri, Perciformes, Percidae. The transcript has 3 exons. The record is from RefSeq and is a predicted model, not a curated record.
AGAUACAUCGUGUCCAGUUUACCAAGAGGCACAGGUCUGACAGACACUAGUGACUCAGCAGCUUCAACUCUGCAGUACCCUAAAUGAGGAAAGUCCACUGUGCAGCUCGAGGGUUCCACCAGCAGCAGCAGCGGUUCAACAUAACACACCUCCAGCUGCGUACUGGAUUGACCCUGAAAGCAGAGCUUCCUAGAGGAAAGGAAAAACAACCUACCCAUAACCCCCACCCCCCACAUCCAUCCUCUUCAGUCUGAUCUGUGUUUCCUCACAAUGUGUAGUUGUCAAGCUAUAACAACGAAUGGACUAUUGUGGCUAAUUAUGGACACAACCCUCCCCCUCUCUUUCUUUAAGCACAUGAAAAUCCAAUCAACAAUGCCUCUAUGUCCAUUCAAUAUGCAUGAUAAGGGUGCAUGGCUUUAACCACACUACAAGACUUUCAUACAAAAAAGGUUCAAGAGGAGAUACUCGCAAAGACUGUACGAAAAAUUGCACCCUCAGAUUUUUAAAGAAGCAUCAACAAGGACUAUUAAGAGUGGACAUGGACAUGUUGAAAUGCCUUUAAGAGACUGUUUUCUCUCUCUAAAAUUGAAACAUGUUGGAUAUUACAUUUGUAACCUCUGUGCUUUGUCUUGCUCCAUAACAGCAUUGAUGUAUAACAACUUAACUAAGAAGUAACACAGCACAAUUAACUAAAUGUCAAAAAAGCACCUAACUAAAAUUUAAAAGUAUGUAAACAAAAGGGAAUCAGUAUUUUAUAAGUGUGGUAGCUUUUAGUCAUUUUAUGUUUUGUACUUGACUUUGUGCUUUAAAUGUGAGUUAGGCUUACAAAUAUGAAUGAGUGUCCUGAGAGAUUAAGUUAAGGAAACCAGUAUAAUAAACAGAUAAAAGUGAGGCCUUCAGCCAUUAUGUAUCUGCCUUUCAGUUGUUUCUGCAUGGGAUAAUCAAAGUACUUUAAUAGCUUUAGAUAUUUUAUAAUGUUGAGAAAUCCAUUUUCUGUAGUUUGAGCUUACUGUUUUAUUUUUUUAAACAAUAUGGAAGAUUCAGUUUUAAUGACCACAAUGAAGAAGUACAACAGCAUCAUUUGUUUCUAUGGAUUCAGAAAGUUAAGUGUACUCUCAGCUUAAAUAUAAAUUAACAAUGUGCUUGAAUAUUAUACCCACGUGGACAUCACUGGAGAAUAGGAGUCUAGGGGAUUAAUCUGAACCCAAGUGAAAAAAGUGAGUUCUUGAGAAUGGUUGGAUUACUAACUCCUUAUGACUACUGCUUCACUUUUUUUAAAGCCAAACUAUGGAUGUUCCUUAACUCCAAUGUCUUCUGAGAUUGUGUUACAAGUUAAAAAUUCAAGUUCAUCAUGUCUUAAUGUUUACUUUACAAUAGUGAAAUCCUGAGUACUGCUCGUGUGUAUUACUGACUACUGUAUGUAUAUGCAUAUAUAACACACAAAUAGUGAUAUAGAUGAGACUGACAUAUAUACAUCUGAAUCUAUAAAUAUGAUUUUCUUUUUCAAUACCAAUACUUAACUUUUUAAGGUGAACAAAAACAGUGAAACUCCUGUGCCAUCAGAUUUAUGUGCCAUCUAUGUGCAACACUAAAAUUCAUCAUGUUGUCACACAACUCUUUUGCACAGUUCAGAUUGCAUUACUUAGAUAAAGUUGUAAUGUUUUACAGGCAAACAUAUACAGUAAGUGCUUUUUGUGGUUUAGUGGUACUUUUAUGGUGCAACAUGUAGUAACUUGUGUAAUGUGAGAUUUUUGUCUGCUACGGUUUGGUCGUUUUUGAUCUAUUAAAUACAACAACAAAAUACAACAGCAAACUACAUGGUGAACUUUUAAAUCUCUUGAGUUUUGCAUUAAAAGGCAUAACAAU